RNAcentral lists this ribosomal RNA (18 nucleotides) under Pilobolus kleinii. Its description in RNAcentral is "partial 28S ribosomal RNA". Lineage: Eukaryota; Fungi; Mucoromycota; Mucoromycetes; Mucorales; Pilobolaceae. The record is from RNAcentral.
CAGAAAAUUAAGGGGGGA